CCUACGGGAGGCAGCAGUGGGGAAUAUUGGACAAUGGGCGAAAGCCUGAUCCAGCAAUGCCGCGUGAGUGAUGAAGGCCUUAGGGUUGUAAAGCUCUUUUACCAGGGAUGAUAAUGACAGUACCUGGAGAAUAAGCUCCGGCUAACUCCGUGCCAGCAGCCGCGGUAAUACGGAGGGAGCUAGCGUUGUUCGGAAUUACUGGGCGUAAAGCGUACGUAGGCGGUUAUUCAAGUCAGAGGUGAAAGCCUGGAGCUCAACUCCAGAACUGCCUUUGAAACUAGAUAGCUAGAAUCUUGGAGAGGUGAGUGGAAUUCCGAGUGUAGAGGUGAAAUUCGUAGAUAUUCGGAAGAACACCAGUGGCGAAGGCGACUCACUGGACAAGUAUUGACGCUGAGGUACGAAAGCGUGGGGAGCAAACAGGAUUAGAUACCCUGGUAGUCCACGCCGUAAACGAUGAUAACUAGCUGUUCGGGCUCUACGAGCUUGUAGUGGCGCAGCUAACGACAUUAAGUUAUCCGUCCGUCGGGAGGUACGGUCGCGAAGAAUUAAACUAACAAGAAAGUUAGUACGGACGUGAGACGUAGCCGAACGGACGACGACGAGGGAGGUUAGG
This 613-nucleotide ribosomal RNA is filed under the name uncultured bacterium. RNAcentral's name for it is "bacterial SSU rRNA". The stretch from base 1 to 520 matches the Rfam family "Bacterial small subunit ribosomal RNA", at positions 338 to 873 of the family's 1533-position model. The record is from RNAcentral.